Non-coding RNA from Arachis ipaensis, 341 nucleotides. NCBI's taxonomy places the organism in Eukaryota, Viridiplantae, Streptophyta, Magnoliopsida, Fabales, Fabaceae. The record is from RefSeq and is a predicted model, not a curated record.
ACUCUACACACAGGAUUUUAAUUAUUCAAGUUUUAAAAAGUGCAAAUUGAUUUGAAUUGGAGAAAUCAGAGGGAAAAAAUAAAAAGGAAGUGCUGGAAUGUAAUUGAGCUUGUGUAUUCCUAAUAGAACAAGUAAUUGUGGAUGGAAAGGGAAGCUUCUUCAUCAAUCAUCAUAUACAACAAAGCUUUUCACUCAAAAUCCAUUCAUAAUAGACAAUAAUAACUGAACUAAAAGGUUUAGUGUGACUACUUAAGGGGAAAAAAAUUAAAAGUAUGUAAGAAGAGAACAAAAAAAAUUUCCCAACCCAAACUCAUAGUUACUACAACAUCAUCCAAAAUUCA